Molecule: ribosomal RNA, 301 nt
Filed under: uncultured bacterium
Lineage: Bacteria
Description: partial 16S ribosomal RNA
Rfam family: Bacterial small subunit ribosomal RNA
Source: RNAcentral
CAGCAGCCACGGUAAUACGUAGGUGGCAAGCGUUGUCCGGAAUUAUUGGGCGUAAAGCGCGCGCAGGUGGUUUAAUAAGUCUGAUGUGAAAGCCCACGGCUCAACCGUGGAGGGUCAUUGGAAACUGUUAAACUUGAGUGCAGGAGAGAAAAGUGGAAUUCCUAGUGUAGCGGUGAAAUGCGUAGAGAUGUGGAGGAACACCAGUGGCGAAGGCGACUCUCUGGUCUGUAACUGACGCUGAGGAGCGAAAGCGUGGGGAGCGAACAGGAUUAGAUACCCGUGUAGUCCCUGUCUCUUAUAC